AGGAGGGGCGGGGCCGUUCCGAGGAGCAAAAACCACCGUGACAAUAGAACAUAAGAACAUAAGAAAGCUUACAAACGAGAGGAGGGCAUUCAGCCCAUGUUGCUCGUUUGGUUGUUAGUAGCUCAUCAAGCAGCUUCUUGAAGGAUCCCAGGGUCUCAGCUUCAAGUGAAGCGAGUUAGAGACUGAAAGGCAGGCGAGGGAGUGUGUAGCUGUGUGUCACGGGUGUAGCGGAGGGAUAAAAACUGCGCAAUUUCAAAUCAGGUCCGCUUCUGUUUUCUUCCUUGAGAAAAGACAAAACAAAAAAAAAACCUACCUAUUUGGAAACAGGGAGGUGCUUCGGUCGUGUUUGGGAUGCAGUUAUAUUAAACGUGAACAAUAUAACUGUUAAAAAAAGCGAAAUAUGUAUAUUUUUGGCGAGACAGUGCUGCUGUUGUUGUUAUUGCGGUUGCACGUUUGCAGUGAAGUUAUAACAUAACUUAUAUUUCCAGCAGAAGUGGAUUGCGCACAAAAGAAGAAAUAAUGUUAAAGAAAAUCGUUCGAUUCGUUGGCUGCGGAUCGUCUUACAUAAUUUGGUUGCAAUUUCAGACUGCGUUGCUGAAUGACUGUCAAUCAGCAGAAUACAACUGGAGUCGGCAUUGUUAUUUUAAAGCUGCAGAGAAAAUAUACGGAUAUAUUUGUAUUUACAUCAAUAUAUUGCGUGGCGUAACAACAUAUCGCCACCCACAAACAAGAGAAUGGAGCAGGAUCUCACGGAGCAGCCAAUCGGAGGGGAGAGGAGGCUUGUAUCUGGGCGGAUUUGCUUCAGAGCAGGAGGGAGGAUUCAUGGAGUUCAGUGGGCGUGUCACUGCGGGUGGGCGGGGCCUCCAUUGUAUUUUCUCCCCAGAUUCUCAGAAGUUUUGCCGGAUAUUUUCAGAAAGAAACCACAACUUGAGUAAGAGAUCUGGUGUUUGUUCCACACACAGUAUUGUUUACUUAGUGCGCUAGCUGAGAGCUAGGUUUCUUUUGUUUGUUUUAUUAGCGGUUGUUUUGCCAGCGCGGUGUGACAAAAAUAAAAGCAACACAGGUUUCAAGACUCCAGCCUGAUCAUUUACACUGUCCUCGACCACAAUCAGCACAAGCGAGCCAUCAGCAGUUUAAAUAGAGUAUAUACAUGUCAAUGGUGCUCAAUCACUGAGGACAGUACAUCAAAACAAGUCCUGGUGGGUAAACAGCUUGUUAUAUGAUCACAAUCAUGUUCACUCAAGGCAGCAGAAUCCUAUUUAACUGCAGUGUACUUGAGAAGCGAUCGUCUCGUGAGGGUGCCUCGUUUAACAGCUUCAUACCAGGAGGUUCAGAUCCCGGCUCAGCCAUUGACUCCCUGUGUGUGUGUGUGUGACCCUGAGCAAGUCACUGAACCUCCUUGUGCUCCGUCCUUCGGAUGAGACGUAAAACAAACGAGCUCCAAUUGGAAUUGACUGCAGCAGCAGCAGUUGAUGCAUAGUUCACCCCCUAGCCUCUAACAGGAUGCUGGUUGGAGGGAGUGGGUCUUGGACCUCCCUGCAAAGGAUCAUUGGUAGAUCUCCCAGAAUUCAAUGCUGAAGAUUUCCCAAGAGCUGUCAAGGUAAGUCCUGGGUUUAAUUCUCAUGAUCAGAAACAAUGUCUGACCCAUUUUCAAAUGGCUCCAAUACUGUAAAACAGGACCGGCAUUUUGUCUUGUUAUGAACAUGUUUGCAGUUCUGGCUUUUGUCCAUAAGGUGGGGAUAGCGAGCUGAUAUUCGCUGCACUGAUCCUAGGUGUAAAGCAGCUGUAAAGAAAGCAGGCUUUUUUGCGGUUAUUAAUGUAAUGUGAUCAUUAAUCGAUUUUUAUUUUUUUAAAUUAGUAUUCACAGUGUUUAUUAACUACACAUAGUCUAAUUAUCUUAAAGAUUUCUUGAUUUGAGGUUAUUUGCGUAGAUGUGGUGUUUUUAAACCCAGAGAGAGAAGCAAUUCUUUAAAAUAUAAAUGCUUCAUUUUGCGGAUGUCUCACUGUGUGCAUAUUUAAAGCAGCUGAUGUUUGCACUGUGUGUAUACUGAUGACAAACUGAAUGGAGUAAUAAUGCUAAUUGUGCAGCAUGUACAGCUCUAGAUAAGUGCUGCAUCACCCUCUAUAGAGAAUGAACUGAUUCUGCUUCAUAAAGUGGAAUGAAACUUGCUGAAUAAUGUUACCGUAAGAUAUUGAAUCACACACCACUUUGUAGUUACCAAAAUGGAAUUAUGUGACAUUUGGAAAUCUAACAUGAAAUACUACUGUACUGCUAUUAUGGCUUCCGGUAGAGUUUUAUCCCAGUCCUAGGGUUAGAUCAUUUCAAUAACAGGCUUCAUUGAGGGGAGCUCUGAACCCCAGGACUGGGUGCAACAGCAGGGCUAGUGUGAGUUUGUAACCCUGCUCAAACUCCUGGCUCCUGAUCAUUUCAAUAACACAUCUAUACAAAGGGAGCUCUGAAAAGGGCCAAUGUGAGCUUCAAGCUUGCCGCAUGAUUGCAAAGGUGUGUGAAUCAAGCUGAGGGAGGGGGCUGUACCAGGGUGAGGUCACACAGGAAGCAGGGGGUGACAGGGCAGCGAGGCUGUCAAUCACUCUCUCACACACGCCUCUGCACUGACCACAUCAAAGGGAGUGUGCUGUGAGUGGGGGGGCAUUACGUCAA
Molecule: long non-coding RNA, 2662 nt
Organism: Acipenser ruthenus (sterlet)
Lineage: Eukaryota; Metazoa; Chordata; Actinopteri; Acipenseriformes; Acipenseridae
Exons: 3
Source: RefSeq, a predicted model, not a curated record